ACCACAUGGGCCAGGGAGGUGGAGGUUGCAGUGAGGCGAGAUCAUGCCACUGCACUCCAGCCUGAGUGAUAGAACAAGACCCUGUCUCAAAAAACAAACACAAAAGCACAGCCAUCUGCUGUUGUCUCACCCGUGCAACGCUCCUCACACUUCUGUCCUUCCUCACACCACUCCUCUCUGGAGUCUGUCGCCCACGUCCCUUCAGCUGGCUCUUACCUAAGCCCCCAAGUCUCAACUUCAGGAUUACGCCUUCUACAAAACCUGUGUGCACCUCCAGGUUCAGCCAGGAGCAACCCGCUUGAAUGUAUCUGUCCCGUUCCACUUACGUGGAAGUGGCCGUCUGUAGCCGACACCCUGACUACACCGCACCCACCCAUUCACCUUUCAUCCCAGCCUCGCCCUGUGCCUGGCACACAGCAAGCCCGCGAUCAUACUAUGUUUACUGAAUGGAACUGACAGGCCAGGUAGCAGGUUACUGUGGUGGGAAGGGACGAUGAUCUGAGCCAUGACUGAGACAAAGAGCGGGGAGAGGACAGAGCAGAACAGAACAGGCAUUUUUAAAACACAUUUUUUGCCCCCAAUUUUUAUGAUAUAAUGGAUAUUCCCCCACUCCAAACACGUCUUCUAUUUUUGCCACCCUCUCCCUCAAAACACACAGUGGAAAUUUAAAACAAGAAAGUAAAAGAGCAUGCCUAUAGGGAUAUGCUAAGGCUACCUAAUAUCUACAAUUAUGCUACGAAGGACAGCGAGACCGAGAAAAUUGGAGGUGGGGAAUCAAAAAACAAUUUCUUCUUUAAUUUCUUUGGAAAAAUCCAAUUCUGCCUGUAAAAGCAAUACAAACAUAAAUUUAAAAAAUCAAAAUUCCCUCACGCUAUUCUUCCUUGGCUGUAGGCUACUGUUAUUUUUAGAUCUUCUGCUAUACCCAGCUAAGACAAUA
Molecule: long non-coding RNA, 937 nt
Organism: Sapajus apella (tufted capuchin)
Lineage: Eukaryota; Metazoa; Chordata; Mammalia; Primates; Cebidae
Exons: 2
Source: RefSeq, a predicted model, not a curated record